Molecule: transfer RNA, 72 nt
Filed under: Bos taurus (domestic cattle)
Lineage: Eukaryota; Metazoa; Chordata; Mammalia; Artiodactyla; Bovidae
Also listed under: 5 other names
Rfam family: tRNA
About the family: Transfer RNA (tRNA) molecules are approximately 80 nucleotides in length. Their secondary structure includes four short double-helical elements and three loops (D, anti-codon, and T loops).
Source: Rfam by way of RNAcentral
UCCCUGGUAGUCUAGUGGUUAAGAAUCUGCCUUGCAAUGCAGGGGACACAGGUUCCAUCCCUGUCCAGGAAA